Molecule: long non-coding RNA, 203 nt
Organism: Cydia splendana
Lineage: Eukaryota; Metazoa; Arthropoda; Insecta; Lepidoptera; Tortricidae
Exons: 2
Source: RefSeq, a predicted model, not a curated record
AGCCGAUGGUCCUGGGUACGAAUCCCGGUAAGGGUAUUUAUUCGUGUGAUGAGCAUAGAUAUUUGUUCCCGAGUAAUGGGUGUUUUCUAUGUAUGUAAUAUUUAUAAAUAUGUAUAUAUAUCGUUGUCUAAGUACCCACAACACAAGCCUUAUUGAGCUUACUGUGGGACUUAGUCAAUUUGUGUAAUAAUGUCCUAUAAUAU